UAGCAAGAUUAACUUUUUUAUUAAUUUUCUCGAAGCCUAAGGAGUUACUCUAUUACUGUUUUUAGAUAGAAAAUGUAAAUGUAGCAAAAUUUUAUUUAUAUUAUAAAGUAGAAAUGAAAUUUUUUUCGUAUUAGGAGAUAGCUAGUUUCGACAGAAAUAUAUUUACGUAUAGGUAGUCAGAUAGGGUGUCAUAAGCUAUGGAUAGCUUAGGUAAUUUAUUGAUUUUCUGGCCCCUAGAAGGGUGAGCUUAUAGGGGAAAAAUUGUAGUGUAAGGUAAAAGUUUGUUAGCAUCUAAGCUUGAAAUUAGCUAAGAUUAGAAGCUUGUUUCAAAGUAUUAAUGUACCGUUGUGCAUUGCUUAAGUUAGGUUGAUAAAUACCUAAGCCAAAAGGUGUUGCAUUUAUGCUAAAAUGAGUAUUUUGUGGAUGAUUUAAGAACUAAAAUUGAUUGUUUAAUUAGGAAUAAUGCGUUAAUUUAAAAUGUGAAAAAGGAACUCGGCAUCUAUGCUUCGCCUGUUUAGCAAAAACAUGGCUCUUUG
Molecule: ribosomal RNA, 536 nt
Filed under: Cyclotus taivanus
Lineage: Eukaryota; Metazoa; Mollusca; Gastropoda; Architaenioglossa; Cyclophoridae
Description: partial 16S ribosomal RNA
Source: RNAcentral